This 429-nucleotide ribosomal RNA is filed under the name bacterium. RNAcentral describes it as "partial 16S ribosomal RNA". It matches the Rfam family "Bacterial small subunit ribosomal RNA", at positions 355 to 776 of the family's 1533-position model. The record is from RNAcentral.
UAGGGAAUCUUCGGCAAUGGGGGCAACCCUGACCGAGCAACGCCGCGUGAGUGAAGAAGGUUUUCGGAUCGUAAAGCUCUGUUGUAAGAGAAGAACGUGUGUGAGAGUGGAAAGUUCACACAGUGACGGUAACUUACCAGAAAGGGACGGCUAACUACGUGCCAGCAGCCGCGGUAAUACGUAGGUCCCGAGCGUUGCCCGGAUUUAUUGGGCGUAAAGCGAGCGCAGGCGGUUUAAUAAGUCUGAAGUUAAAGGCAGUGGCUUAACCAUUGUUCGCUUUGGAAACUGUUAAACUUGAGUGCAGAAGGGGAGAGUGGAAUUCCAUGUGUAGCGGUGAAAUGCGUAGAUAUAUGGAGGAACACCGGUGGCGAAAGCGGCUCUCUGGUCUGUAACUGACGCUGAGGCUCGAAAGCGUGGGGAGCAAACAGG